AACCCAUGUUAAGUACAUUUUUGUAGGAGUUCCUUGAACCUUUCCCAUGUCUCAAAUAGAGACUCAAAUUCCAUUUGCACAAAGGAUGAAAUUUUAUUCCUAAGCUU
This is a small nucleolar RNA of Dioscorea cayenensis subsp. rotundata (Guinea yam), 107 nucleotides long. The record is from RefSeq and is a predicted model, not a curated record. Lineage: Eukaryota; Viridiplantae; Streptophyta; Magnoliopsida; Dioscoreales; Dioscoreaceae.